GUCCUUGUAGCUUACAAAAAGCAUGACACUGAAGAUGUCAAGACGG
RNAcentral lists this transfer RNA (46 nucleotides) under Motacilla flava pygmaea. RNAcentral's name for it is "partial tRNA-Phe". Lineage: Eukaryota; Metazoa; Chordata; Aves; Passeriformes; Motacillidae. The record is from RNAcentral.